Molecule: small RNA, 58 nt
Filed under: uncultured Siminovitchia sp.
Lineage: Bacteria; Bacillati; Bacillota; Bacilli; Caryophanales; Bacillaceae
Description: Bacillaceae-1 RNA
Rfam family: Bacillaceae-1 RNA
Source: RNAcentral
AAAGGAUCGUCGACUAAGUUCACCACUUCCUGUGGCAACGUCGACACCAACAUUCUGU